AAUGGGGGAAACCCUGAUGCAGCGACGCCGCGUGGAGGAAGAAGGUUUUCGGAUUGUAAACUCCUGUCGUUAGGGACGAUAAUGACGGUACCUAACAAGAAAGCACCGGCUAACUACGUGCCAGCAGCCGCGGUAAAACGUAGGGUGCAAGCGUUGUCCGGAAUUACUGGGUGUAAAGGGAGCGCAGGCGGGAAGACAAGUUGGAAGUGAAAACCAUGGGCUCAACCCAUGAAUUGCUUUCAAAACUGUUUUUCUUGAGUAGUGCAGAGGUAGAUGGAAUUCCCGGUGUAGCGGUGGAAUGCGUAGAUAUCGGGAGGAACACCAGUGGCGAAGGCGGUCUACUGGGCACCAACUGACGCUGAGGCUCGAAAGCAUGGGUAGCAAA
RNAcentral lists this ribosomal RNA (385 nucleotides) under uncultured bacterium. RNAcentral's name for it is "bacterial SSU rRNA". It matches the Rfam family "Bacterial small subunit ribosomal RNA", at positions 370 to 772 of the family's 1533-position model. The record is from RNAcentral.